This 540-nucleotide ribosomal RNA is filed under the name uncultured bacterium. Its description in RNAcentral is "bacterial SSU rRNA". It matches the Rfam family "Bacterial small subunit ribosomal RNA", at positions 777 to 1335 of the family's 1533-position model. The record is from RNAcentral.
AAUAGAUACCCGGGUAGUCCACGCCGUAAACGAUGGGUACUAGCUGUUGGAGGUAUCGACCCCUUCAGUAGCGAAGCUAACGCGUUAAGUAUCCCGCCUGUGGAGUACGGUCGCAAGACUAAAACAUAAAGGAAUUGACGGGGGCCCGCACAAGCGGUGGAUCGUGUUCUUUAAUUCGAUGCUAAACGAAGAACCUUACCAGGGUUUGACAUCCCUUGAAUUAAUCCGAAAGGAUUGAGUGCUUUAUUGAACAGGGUGACAGGUGAUGCAUGGCCGUCGUCAGCUCGUGUCGUGAGAUGUUUGGUUAAGUCCAUCAACGAGCGCAACCCUUGCAAGUAGUUGUAUUUUUCUACUUGGACUGCCCCGGUAACGGGGAGGAAGGAGGGGAUGAUGUCAGGUCAGUAUUCCCUACAUCCUGGGCUAGAAACACGAUACAAUGGCUAGUACAAUGCGCAGCGAAGCCGCGAGGUGAAGCAAAUCGCAUCAAAGCUAGUCCCAGUUCGGAUUGGAGGCUGAAACUCGCUCAUGAAUCGGAAUCGC